ACUCCUACGGGAGGCAGCAGUAGGGAAUAUUGGUCAAUGGGCGAAAGCCUGAACCAGCCAUGCCGCGUGUCAGAUGAAGGUCCUCUGGAUUGUAAAAUGACUUUUCUACGGGAAGAAUGAGCCGUCUGCGGACGGAAGUUGACGGUACCGUAGGAAUAAGCACCGGCUAACUACGUGCCAGCAGCCGCGGUAAUACGUAGGGGUGCAAGCGUUGUCCGGAUUUACUGGGUUUAAAGGGUACGUAGGCGGUUGUGCCAAGUCUGGGGUGAAAGUUUGCAGCUCAACUGUAAAAAUUGCCUUGGAUACUGGUCGGCUAGAGUAGUGGAGCGGUGGCUGGAAUUUAUAGUGUAGCGGUGAAAUGCUUAGAUACUAUGAGGAACACCAAUUGCGAAGGCAGGUCACUGGUCACUAACUGACGCUGAGGUACGAAAGUGUGGGGAUCAAACAGGAUUAGAUA
RNAcentral lists this ribosomal RNA (457 nucleotides) under uncultured bacterium. RNAcentral describes it as "bacterial SSU rRNA". It matches the Rfam family "Bacterial small subunit ribosomal RNA", at positions 335 to 784 of the family's 1533-position model. The record is from RNAcentral.